Molecule: ribosomal RNA, 2910 nt
Filed under: Klebsiella pneumoniae
Lineage: Bacteria; Pseudomonadati; Pseudomonadota; Gammaproteobacteria; Enterobacterales; Enterobacteriaceae
Description: bacterial LSU rRNA
Rfam family: Bacterial large subunit ribosomal RNA
Source: RNAcentral
AAGCGACUAAGCGUACACGGUGGAUGCCCUGGCAGUCAGAGGCGAUGAAGGACGUGCUAAUCUGCGAAAAGCGUCGGUAAGGUGAUAUGAACCGUUAUAACCGGCGAUGUCCGAAUGGGGAAACCCAGUGCAAUUCGUUGCACUAUCGUUAACUGAAUACAUAGGUUAACGAGGCGAACCGGGGGAACUGAAACAUCUAAGUACCCCGAGGAAAAGAAAUCAACCGAGAUUCCCCCAGUAGCGGCGAGCGAACGGGGAGCAGCCCAGAGUCUGAAUCAGCUUGUGUGUUAGUGGAACGGUCUGGAAAGUCCGACGGUACAGGGUGAUAGUCCCGUACACCAAAAUGCACAGGCUGUGAACUCGAAGAGUAGGGCGGGACACGUGGUAUCCUGUCUGAAUAUGGGGGGACCAUCCUCCAAGGCUAAAUACUCCUGACUGACCGAUAGUGAACCAGUACCGUGAGGGAAAGGCGAAAAGAACCCCGGCGAGGGGAGUGAAAAAGAACCUGAAACCGUGUACGUACAAGCAGUGGGAGCACCUUCGGGUGUGACUGCGUACCUUUUGUAUAAUGGGUCAGCGACUUAUAUUCUGUAGCAAGGUUAACCGUAUAGGGGAGCCGCAGGGAAACCGAGUCUUAACUGGGCGUUAAGUUGCAGGGUAUAGACCCGAAACCCGGUGAUCUAGCCAUGGGCAGGUUGAAGGUUGGGUAACACUAACUGGAGGACCGAACCGACUAAUGUUGAAAAAUUAGCGGAUGACUUGUGGCUGGGGGUGAAAGGCCAAUCAAACCGGGAGAUAGCUGGUUCUCCCCGAAAGCUAUUUAGGUAGCGCCUCGUGAAUUCAUCUUCGGGGGUAGAGCACUGUUUCGGCUAGGGGGUCAUCCCGACUUACCAACCCGAUGCAAACUACGAAUACCGAAGAAUGUUAUCACGGGAGACACACGGCGGGUGCUAACGUCCGUCGUGAAGAGGGAAACAACCCAGACCGCCAGCUAAGGUCCCAAAGUCAUGGUUAAGUGGGAAACGAUGUGGGAAGGCACAGACAGCCAGGAUGUUGGCUUAGAAGCAGCCAUCAUUUAAAGAAAGCGUAAUAGCUCACUGGUCGAGUCGGCCUGCGCGGAAGAUGUAACGGGGCUAAACCAUGCACCGAAGCUGCGGCAGCGACACUAUGUGUUGUUGGGUAGGGGAGCGUUCUGUAAGCCUGCGAAGGUGUGCUGUGAGGCAUGCUGGAGGUAUCAGAAGUGCGAAUGCUGACAUAAGUAACGAUAAAGCGGGUGAAAAGCCCGCUCGCCGGAAGACCAAGGGUUCCUGUCCAACGUUAAUCGGGGCAGGGUGAGUCGACCCCUAAGGCGAGGCCGAAAGGCGUAGUCGAUGGGAAACAGGUUAAUAUUCCUGUACUUGGUGUUACUGCGAAGGGGGGACGGAGAAGGCUAUGUUAGCCGGGCGACGGUUGUCCCGGUUUAAGCAUGUAGGCUGGUUGUCCAGGCAAAUCCGGAUAAUCAAGGCUGAGGUGUGAUGACGAGGCACUACGGUGCUGAAGUAACAAAUGCCCUGCUUCCAGGAAAAGCCUCUAAGCAUCAGGUAACAUCAAAUCGUACCCCAAACCGACACAGGUGGUCAGGUAGAGAAUACCAAGGCGCUUGAGAGAACUCGGGUGAAGGAACUAGGCAAAAUGGUGCCGUAACUUCGGGAGAAGGCACGCUGGUGUGUAGGUGAAGUCCCUGCGGAUGGAGCUGAGACCAGUCGAAGAUACCAGCUGGCUGCAACUGUUUAUUAAAAACACAGCACUGUGCAAACACGAAAGUGGACGUAUACGGUGUGACGCCUGCCCGGUGCCGGAAGGUUAAUUGAUGGGGUUAUCCGUAAGGAGAAGCUCUUGAUCGAAGCCCCGGUAAACGGCGGCCGUAACUAUAACGGUCCUAAGGUAGCGAAAUUCCUUGUCGGGUAAGUUCCGACCUGCACGAAUGGCGUAAUGAUGGCCAGGCUGUCUCCACCCGAGACUCAGUGAAAUUGAACUCGCUGUGAAGAUGCAGUGUACCCGCGGCAAGACGGAAAGACCCCGUGAACCUUUACUAUAGCUUGACACUGAACAUUGAGCCUUGAUGUGUAGGAUAGGUGGGAGGCUUUGAAGCGUGGACGCCAGUCUGCGUGGAGCCAACCUUGAAAUACCACCCUUUAAUGUUUGAUGUUCUAACGUUGGCCCCUUACCGGGGUUGCGGACAGUGUCUGGUGGGUAGUUUGACUGGGGCGGUCUCCUCCCAAAGCGUAACGGAGGAGCACGAAGGUUAGCUAAUCCUGGUCGGACAUCAGGAGGUUAGUGCAAUGGCAUAAGCUAGCUUGACUGCGAGCGUGACGGCGCGAGCAGGUGCGAAAGCAGGUCAUAGUGAUCCGGUGGUUCUGAAUGGAAGGGCCAUCGCUCAACGGAUAAAAGGUACUCCGGGGAUAACAGGCUGAUACCGCCCAAGAGUUCAUAUCGACGGCGGUGUUUGGCACCUCGAUGUCGGCUCAUCACAUCCUGGGGCUGAAGUAGGUCCCAAGGGUAUGGCUGUUCGCCAUUUAAAGUGGUACGCGAGCUGGGUUUAGAACGUCGUGAGACAGUUCGGUCCCUAUCUGCCGUGGGCGCUGGAGAAUUGAGGGGGGCUGCUCCUAGUACGAGAGGACCGGAGUGGACGCAUCACUGGUGUUCGGGUUGUCAUGCCAAUGGCACUGCCCGGUAGCUAAAUGCGGAAGAGAUAAGUGCUGAAAGCAUCUAAGCACGAAACUUGCCCCGAGAUGAGUUCUCCCUGAGACUUUAAGUCUCCUGAAGGAACGUUGAAGACGACGACGUUGAUAGGCCGGGUGUGUAAGCGCAGCGAUGCGUUGAGCUAACCGGUACUAAUGAACCGUGAGGCUUAACCUUACAACGCCGAAG